UCCGGUUUGUCACCGGCAGUCUCCUUAGAGUUCCCGCCAUUACUCGCUGGCAACUGAAGGCAAGGGUUUCGCUCGUUAUGGGACUUAACCCAACAUCUCACGACACGAGCUGACGACAGCCAUGCAGCACCUGUCUCACGGUUCCCGAAGGCACAUCCGCAUCUCUGCAGACUUCCGUGGAUGUCAAGACCAGGUAAGGUUCUUCGCGUUGCAUCGAAUUAAACCACAUACUCCACCGCUUGUGCGGGCCCCCGUCAAUUCCUUUGAGUUUCAGCCUUGCGGCCGUACUCCCCAGGCGGGGCACUUAGAGCGUUAGCUACGGCACCGGGAGGGUCGCUCCCCCCGACGCCUAGUGCCCAUCGUUUACGGCGUGGACUAC
Molecule: unclassified non-coding RNA, 379 nt
Filed under: uncultured bacterium
Lineage: Bacteria
Description: contains 16S-23S intergenic spacer region
Source: RNAcentral